AGUAUGUAAGAAUAAAUUUCAGAAAUAGACCGAGAUUGAAAAUAGUCCAAAAGUUAUAUAUAGAAUUUAUAAGAAUCCACAAAUAGUUAAUUCCACUACGCGAUUGAAUGAUUUUGACGUUUAUGGUUCAACGUAUUUUGUAAUUCAUAAUAGAAAUAUAUCAUAAUGACAUAAAAUAGAACAAUAUCAUACUGACGGGAUCUUUUAAAGUACAGAGUCACGUUAUAAAAACCAAAGAAAUACAAAAAGUCGCAUAUACAAAACACGCCACCAAAAAAAUGAAAGACAAUACAAACACAUUGACGAGAUGUAUAAGUACCUAGCC
This 325-nucleotide long non-coding RNA is filed under the name Mytilus galloprovincialis (Mediterranean mussel). The record is from RNAcentral. Lineage: Eukaryota; Metazoa; Mollusca; Bivalvia; Mytilida; Mytilidae.